Molecule: ribosomal RNA, 207 nt
Filed under: uncultured bacterium
Lineage: Bacteria
Description: partial 16S ribosomal RNA
Rfam family: Bacterial small subunit ribosomal RNA
Source: RNAcentral
CGCGUAGGCGGACAUUUAAGUCGGGGGUGAAAGCCCGGGGCUCAACCUCGGAAUUGCCUUCGAUACUGGCUGUCUUGAGUGUGAGAGAGGUGUGUGGAACUCCGAGUGUAGAGGUGAAAUUCGUAGAUAUUCGGAAGAACACCAGUGGCGAAGGCGACACACUGGCUCACUACUGACGCUGAGGCGCGAAAGCGUGGGGAGCAAACA